GACGGAGGGGGCGAGCGUUGUUCGGAAUUACUGGGCGUAAAGGGCACGUAGGCGGUCAGGCAGGUCGGUUGUGAAAGCCCUCGGCUUAACCGGGGAACGGCGACCGAAACUGCCUGACUGGAGUACGGGAGGGGAGAGUGGAAUUCCCAGUGUAGCGGUGAAAUGCGUAGAUAUUGGGAAGAACACCAAUGGCGAAGGCAGCUCUCUGGACCGUUACUGACGCUGAGGUGCGAAAGCCAGGGGAGCAAACGGG
Molecule: ribosomal RNA, 253 nt
Filed under: uncultured bacterium
Lineage: Bacteria
Description: partial 16S ribosomal RNA
Rfam family: Bacterial small subunit ribosomal RNA
Source: RNAcentral